Molecule: ribosomal RNA, 353 nt
Filed under: uncultured bacterium
Lineage: Bacteria
Description: partial 16S ribosomal RNA
Rfam family: Bacterial small subunit ribosomal RNA
Source: RNAcentral
CCUACGGGCGGCAGCAGUGAGGAAUAUUGGUCAAUGGCCGGAAGGCUGAACCAGCCAAGCCGCGUGAAGGACGAAGGUGCUCAGCAUUGUAAACUCCUUUUGUCAAGGGAAAAAAUCAGGCUCGAGAGCCUGACCGAGGGUACUGGAAGAAAAAGCAUCGGCUAACUCCGUGCCAGCAGCCGCGGUAAUACGGGGGAUGCGAGAGUUAUCCGGAUUUAUUGGGCUAAAAGGGUGCGUAGGCGGGCUGUUAAGUCAGCGGGAAAAGCCCGGGGCUCAACCGCGGCGAGCAGUUGAAACUGGCUAUCUUGAGAUGUCGAGAGGUAUGCGGAAUGCACAGUGUAGCGGUGAAAUGC